UUGGGAAUCUUCGGCAAUGGGCGCAAGCCUGACCGAGCAACGCCGCGUGAGUGAUGAAGGUUUUCGGAUUGUAAAGCUCUGUCUUCCGGGACGAUAAUGACGGUACCGGAGGAGGAAGCCACGGCUAACUACGUGCCAGCAGCCGCGGUAAUACGUAGGUGGCGAGCGUUGUCCGGAAUUACUGGGCGUAAAGGGCGCGUAGGCGGCCUGUCAAGUCAGAUGUGAAAUCCCCGGGCUUAACCCGGGAACUGCAUUUGAAACUGGCGGGCUUGAGGGCAGGAGAGGAAAGCGGAACUCCCAGUGUAGCGGUGAAAUGCGUAGAUAUUGGGAGGAACACCAGUGGCGAAGGCGGCUUUCUGGACUGUCACUGACGCUGAGGCGCGAAAGCCAGGGGAGCGAACGGG
Molecule: ribosomal RNA, 404 nt
Filed under: uncultured bacterium
Lineage: Bacteria
Also listed under: 2 other names
Description: bacterial SSU rRNA
Rfam family: Bacterial small subunit ribosomal RNA
Source: RNAcentral